UACAGAGGGUGCGAGCGUUGUCCGGAGUCACUGGGCGUAAAGGGCGCGUAGGUGGUGGCUUAAGCGUGCGGUGAAAGCUCGGAGCUCAACUCCGAGUCGGCCGUGCGAACUGGGCUCACUGGAGCAUAGUAGAGGCAGGUGGAAUUCCGGGUGUAGCGGUGGAAUGCGUAGAGAUCCGGAAGAACACCGGUGGCGAAGGCGGCCUGCUGGGCUAUGGCGUGACACUGAGGCGCGACAGCGUGGGGAGCAAACAGG
Molecule: ribosomal RNA, 255 nt
Filed under: uncultured bacterium
Lineage: Bacteria
Description: partial 16S ribosomal RNA
Rfam family: Bacterial small subunit ribosomal RNA
Source: RNAcentral